UACAGAGGGGGCAAGCGUUGUUCGGAAUUACUGGGCGUAAAGGGCGCGUAGGCGGCCUGUUAAGUCGAACGUGAAAUCCCCGGGCUCAACCCGGGAACUGCGUCCGAUACUGGCAGGCUUGAAUCCGGGAGAGGGAUGCGGAAUUCCAGGUGUAGCGGUGAAAUGCGUAGAUAUCUGGAGGAACACCGGUGGCGAAGGCGACGUCCUGGACCGGCAUUGACGCUGAGGCGCGAAAGCCAGGGGAGCAAACGGG
RNAcentral lists this ribosomal RNA (253 nucleotides) under uncultured bacterium. RNAcentral describes it as "partial 16S ribosomal RNA". It matches the Rfam family "Bacterial small subunit ribosomal RNA", at positions 524 to 776 of the family's 1533-position model. The record is from RNAcentral.